Molecule: non-coding RNA, 48 nt
Filed under: Schistosoma margrebowiei
Lineage: Eukaryota; Metazoa; Platyhelminthes; Trematoda; Strigeidida; Schistosomatidae
Source: RNAcentral
AUCCAACUGAUGAGUCCCAAAUAGGACAAAACGCGAGUCAAACUAGAU